Molecule: non-coding RNA, 84 nt
Organism: Mycena leptocephala
Lineage: Eukaryota; Fungi; Basidiomycota; Agaricomycetes; Agaricales; Mycenaceae
Source: the annotation of a GenBank genome assembly
CCCACUAUAGCCCAGUGGUAAAAUCUCCCGCAUGCUCGUAUUUUCGGGCGGCGGUCGGUGGGGGUUCGAAUCCCCCUAGUGGCA